Molecule: ribosomal RNA, 719 nt
Filed under: uncultured Arcobacter sp.
Lineage: Bacteria; Pseudomonadati; Campylobacterota; Epsilonproteobacteria; Campylobacterales; Arcobacteraceae
Description: bacterial SSU rRNA
Rfam family: Bacterial small subunit ribosomal RNA
Source: RNAcentral
GGCGGACGGGUGAGUAAUAUAUAGUUAACCUGCCCUCGAGAAAGGAAUAACAGUUGGAAACGACUGCUAAUGCCCUAUAUGCCUUUAAGACAUAAGUCUGCAAGGGAAAUGCUUUUGUGCUCGAGGAUGGGACUGUACGGUAUCAGAUAGUUGGUGGGGUAAUGGCCUACCAAGUCAAUGACGCCUAACUGGUUUGAGAGGAUGAUCAGUCACACUGGAACUGAGACACGGUCCAGACUCCUACGGGAGGCAGCAGUGGGGAAUAUUGCACAAUGGAGGAAACUCUGAUGCAGCAACGCCGCGUGGAGGAUGACACAUUUCGGUGCGUAAACUCCUUUUAUAUAGGAAGAUAAUGACGGUACUAUAUGAAUAAGCGCCGGCUAACUCCGUGCCAGCAGCCGCGGUAAUACGGAGGGCGCAAGCGUUACUCGGAAUCACUGGGCGUAAAGAGCGUGUAGGCGGAUAGAUAAGUCAGAAGUGAAAUCCUAUGGCUCAACCAUAGAACUGCUUUUGAAACUGUUUAUCUAGAGUGUGGGAGAGGUAGAUGGAAUUUCUGGUGUAGGGGUAAAAUCCGUAGAGAUCAGAAGGAAUACCGAUUGCGAAGGCGAUCUACUGGAACAUAACUGACGCUGAGACGCGAAAGCGUGGGGAGCUUCAGGAUUAGAUACCCUGGUAGUCCACGCCCUAAAGGGUCCCCUAGUUGUUGUGAGGCUUGACCU